ACCGCCAGCACCUUGGCGAUGUAGGGGAUCAGCGGCAGGUUCAGGAUCAGAAGCACCACGUUGCCGAUAUACAUCGAGAUGAUGACCGCCCAGAAGAUUUGCGGAUCGUCGACCAUCAGGCGCGGCCC
Molecule: non-coding RNA, 128 nt
Filed under: Pseudaestuariivita atlantica
Lineage: Bacteria; Pseudomonadati; Pseudomonadota; Alphaproteobacteria; Rhodobacterales; Paracoccaceae
Description: Aestuariivita atlantica Ruegeria cis8 sRNA
Rfam family: Ruegeria cis8 sRNA
About the family: Cis-encoded. Targets hypothetical protein.
Source: Rfam by way of RNAcentral